Molecule: ribosomal RNA, 253 nt
Filed under: uncultured prokaryote
Description: partial 16S ribosomal RNA
Rfam family: Bacterial small subunit ribosomal RNA
Source: RNAcentral
UACGUAGGGUGCGAGCGUUGUCCGGAAUUAUUGGGCGUAAAGGGCUCGUAGGCGGUUUGUCGCGUCGGGAGUGAAAACACUGGGCUUAACUCAGUGCUUGCUUCCGAUACGGGCAGACUAGAGGUAUGCAGGGGAGAACGGAAUUCCUGGUGUAGCGGUGAAAUGCGCAGAUAUCAGGAGGAACACCGGUGGCGAAGGCGGUGGUCUGGGCCGGAACUGACGCUGAGGAGCGAAAGCGUGGGGAGCGAACAGG